UUGUCCUCAUAGCCUCUGGGCACCUCCUA
This 29-nucleotide non-coding RNA is filed under the name Rattus norvegicus (Norway rat). The record is from RNAcentral. Lineage: Eukaryota; Metazoa; Chordata; Mammalia; Rodentia; Muridae.